GCCGGGCGGUGGUGGCGCACGCCUUUAAUCCCAGCACUUGGGAGGCAGAGGCAGGCGGAUCUCUGUGAGUUCGAGACCAGCCUGGUCUACAAGAGCUAGUUCCAGGACAGGCUCCAAAACCACAGAGAAACCCUGUCUCGAAAAACCAAAAAAAAAGACAGGCUUCUCUGUAGAUUUGGUGCCUGUCCUGGAACUAACUCUUGUAGACCAGGCUGGCCUCGAACGCACAGAGAUCCACCUGCCUCU
Molecule: signal recognition particle RNA, 246 nt
Filed under: Microtus ochrogaster (prairie vole)
Lineage: Eukaryota; Metazoa; Chordata; Mammalia; Rodentia; Cricetidae
Description: Metazoan signal recognition particle RNA (ENSMOCG00000006850.1)
Rfam family: Metazoan signal recognition particle RNA
About the family: The signal recognition particle (SRP) is a universally conserved ribonucleoprotein.
Source: RNAcentral